This 339-nucleotide long non-coding RNA is filed under the name Hordeum vulgare. RNAcentral's name for it is "long non-coding RNA (HVUL_LNC000358)". The record is from RNAcentral. Lineage: Eukaryota; Viridiplantae; Streptophyta; Magnoliopsida; Poales; Poaceae.
UCAGUAUCGAGAACCACUUCUUCUCCUUUUCGAGGCGUAGAUCGCCCGUCAUCUGAUUUGCUUCGUCAAAGCGGAUAGCAUUAUGGAAUUGAUUAUAUUCAUAAAAAAAGCACCCUAUUUAAUAAGUCCUCGGAAAUGAUCUCAUCCAGUACUUCUCUCAGCCUAUUUGCCAAGACUUUGGAGCAUAGCUUGUAAAUGACAUUGCACAAAGAUAUCGGCCUAUACUGUGAUAUUUCUUGGGGGUUCUACUGUCAGCAAGUGCACUAUUAUUUACUUCACCGCGUACUUAAAGAAUUGUUGGUAGCAAAGAACAGCACCUGAUAGAAAGGAUGCUAACCA